This 253-nucleotide ribosomal RNA is filed under the name uncultured bacterium. RNAcentral describes it as "partial 16S ribosomal RNA". It matches the Rfam family "Bacterial small subunit ribosomal RNA", at positions 524 to 776 of the family's 1533-position model. The record is from RNAcentral.
UACGUAGGGACCGAGCGUUGUCCGGAAUCAUUGGGCGUAAAGAGCGUGUAGGCGGCUAUUUAAGUCCUGCGUGGAAUCCUGCGGCUCAACCGCAGACGGUCGUGGGAAACUGGAUGGCUAGAGUGCGGGAGAGGAGAGUGGAAUUCCCGGUGUAGCGGUGAAAUGCGCAGAUAUCGGGAAGAACACCCGUGGCGAAGGCGGCCCUCUGGAACGCAACUGACGCUGAGACGCGAAAGCGUGGGGAGCAAACAGG